This is a long non-coding RNA of Harmonia axyridis, 689 nucleotides long. RefSeq lists it as uncharacterized. The record is from RefSeq and is a predicted model, not a curated record. Lineage: Eukaryota; Metazoa; Arthropoda; Insecta; Coleoptera; Coccinellidae. The transcript is spliced from 2 exons.
UAGAAUAGUUGAGAAACAAUAUUUAUCUACGAGGUCUAAUCAAAAAGUCCACAGAUAAUAUUCAAACUGAGGACAUCAUAGAAAUAUAUGAAUAUCUAUUUAAAAAAUCGAGUAUGAAUCGAAAUAUUUCUAUGAUUCUGAGACUGAAAAAACUCGUUUUUAUUUGGUGUAACCUGUAAUCAAUCGAUUUCACGCCUUGAUGAAAACUUGCCAAGUUUAGAACUCCUACAAGUGUAUUUUUAAACGCUAAUGCUAUAAGGAUCAUGCUUCCUUUCAAUUCAAUGUAGAUACCUAUAUCCAUUUUGCGUCAUUCGUUGUUAAGAUUGCUAUUUUAAAAGGUCAAAUGUUUGCCGAGAUCAAGAAGCUUAAUUUUUUUUAAUGUGCUGCGAGCUGGUUAUUAGAAUAAAAAACGGAACCAACCACAAAUAAGACUUCCUUGACCAAAGUGACCUCAUCUCGUCCAAAAGAAAAAUAAGUAUAUUUCUAGCAAUUUCAAGAUGAUAGACUUUGCGUAAUUUUCCUACCGCUAAAAUGCUGAACUUUGGACUUUCAAAUAAAGCAUAAAUUCUAUUUCGGAUUCGAAAUUGAUUUAAAUUUAGAAGCAUGUAAAGGAUGAACGAACUCUGCAUUAAAAAUUGAUAUUAAUGCAUGUGGUUAUUGCAAUUUCAAAAAUAAACUAUCUAUAUUAG